AAAUUGAAGAGUUUGAUCAUGGCUCAGAUUGAACGCUGGCGGCAGGCCUAACACAUGCAAGUCGAGCGGAAACGAGUUAUCUGAGCCUUCGGGGAACGAUAACGGCGUCGAGCGGCGGACGGGUGAGUAAUGCCUAGGAAAUUGCCCUGAUGUGGGGGAUAACCAUUGGAAACGAUGGCUAAUACCGCAUAAUGCCUACGGGCCAAAGAGGGGGACCUUCGGGCCUCUCGCGUCAGGAUAUGCCUAGGUGGGAUUAGCUAGUUGGUGAGGUAAGGGCUCACCAAGGC
Molecule: ribosomal RNA, 287 nt
Filed under: Vibrio alginolyticus
Lineage: Bacteria; Pseudomonadati; Pseudomonadota; Gammaproteobacteria; Vibrionales; Vibrionaceae
Description: partial 16S ribosomal RNA
Rfam family: Bacterial small subunit ribosomal RNA
Source: RNAcentral